UACGGAGGGUGCAAGCGUUAAUCGGAAUUAUUGGGCGUAAAGAGCGCGCAGGCGGUCGUUCAAGUCGAGUGUGAAAGCCCCCGGCUCAACUGGGGAGGGUCACUCGAUACUGAUCGACUCGAAGGCAGGAGAGGGAAGUGGAAUUCCCGGUGUAGUGGUGAAAUGCGUAGAUAUCGGGAGGAACACCAGUGGCGAAGGCGACUUCCUGGCCUGUUCUUGACGCUGAGGCGCGAAAGCUAGGGGAGCAAACGGG
Molecule: ribosomal RNA, 253 nt
Filed under: uncultured bacterium
Lineage: Bacteria
Description: partial 16S ribosomal RNA
Rfam family: Bacterial small subunit ribosomal RNA
Source: RNAcentral